Non-coding RNA from Paramormyrops kingsleyae, 1059 nucleotides. NCBI's taxonomy places the organism in Eukaryota, Metazoa, Chordata, Actinopteri, Osteoglossiformes, Mormyridae. The record is from RefSeq and is a predicted model, not a curated record.
CUACUCCUCCAAAGGCACUGCACCCCCUUCCCCCCUUCCCCUCAGGCCCACAGCCCACCCCCCUAGCCAUCUCACGGGGUGUCGUCUCCUCCUUUUGAUGCAUCCCUGCAGCACCCCCUGCUGUCCACUCCAUCAUAUCACACCCAGGACCCAAAGACUGCGUGGACAUCCUGCCUACGCCAGCUGCACCUUGGAACGACUGCCUGUCCGGUUGAGCGGGAAGUGGACCCCAGUAUUGGACACUCUAGAACUGUUGGAGUGCUGCAAAGCCUCAUGGGACCCCUGAUUUCUCUUCCUGUUAGCAUUGACGUGACUCAAGUCUGUCAGUCCUCUAGAUGAGGUGGACGUCUGCUAUUGGUCUCACUUAGCUGGGAUAACACCAAUCAUAUGGCACUAUGCUGGGCCUGACUUGUCAUAGGUGAGAGUCUGGCCAAUGAUAUAGCAGCAAUACAGCCGUGGGAGGCGGAGCUGGGAUUAUGAUGCAAAAAUCAGACUGUCAGGCUACACCAGCUUCCCCCCCCAUGUGGAGAGGCUCGCCGCAGACCUCUCCCUGAGGAAGCCGAGGGUCUCGACUGUUAGAACCACUACGGCGCCACCCCCACUGCCACAGGCAGGCGGAGGAACUGCAGCCGCAGUGAGGAAACUCCCAGGAGGAGCUGAGCGACACUUACAGGAAGAGACUGAAGCCCGUCGAAAUGGGUGUGCAAUACUGUGUUAGCAUAGUAUAAACUUUCACUGAGAACCUUUGGAUGCCCCCAACAAGCCUGCCUGUAAGUGGGCUCCGACAUCGGUGUGGCUUUGGUCUCACAGAUGGCGGGACAGAGGGGCAUGGGAGAGGCAUACUGAUUAAUGUACGUCACUCGUGUAAGAACUCAGUCAAUACCCUUUUGUAUAUAAUAUCUUUAUUUUUGUACAAAUGCACUAUGCGGUUGUCAGGCAGGCUCCCAGCGGUCGCUGCAGUGAGCCGUUUGCUUCGGGGGUGGGGGGCGGGGAGGCGUGUGACAACCGUGUACAAGCACCAAAUAUAAAUAAACAGAAGCCCAGAGCAGGCUGUCCGUG